AAAUCUCUCGACCUCUCUCUGAACGCGCGAAAGCUGUUCUGAGAAUGUCGGAUAUGGACCUUGUGACUUCUUCAAGAAGGCACUGGUGCUUAAAGACAGUUGAUUUCAAUUCGCUUGGGUCGAUCCUUCAUUACCCUAUGGAGUUGAACUUGUGAUAGAUGGAAAAGGUUGUAUUACCUUCUUACACGUCGCAUGGUUCUAAACUCUAUGAUUUUUGGAGGGUCCCCGAUCGUUCAUUCCUUUUCACGUCACCUUUGGUGUAUUGUGAUAUGGGGAUGAAACGAUUCUGGCGGAUUUUGAAAAACCAUUUCCAUUAUCCGGUCUCUUGUCAUGAGAGCACUCGGAA
This 346-nucleotide unclassified non-coding RNA is filed under the name uncultured Rhizophlyctidales. RNAcentral describes it as "sequence contains ITS2". Lineage: Eukaryota; Fungi; Chytridiomycota; Chytridiomycetes; Rhizophlyctidales. The record is from RNAcentral.